RNAcentral lists this ribosomal RNA (800 nucleotides) under uncultured euglenid. RNAcentral describes it as "bacterial SSU rRNA". It matches the Rfam family "Eukaryotic small subunit ribosomal RNA", at positions 1 to 766 of the family's 1831-position model. The record is from RNAcentral. Lineage: Eukaryota; Euglenozoa.
AACCUGGUUGAUCCUGCCAGUUGUCAUAUGCUUGUUUCAAGGACUAAGCCAUGCAAAUGUUAGAGUACUGGUGUUUUAAUACCAGGGGUCUGUGUACGGCUCAUUAAACGGUUUAUAGUCUCCCCAACAAAGAGGGCAGUCAUGCCUUCCUAUGGGAUAUCUUUGCGAAACGCAAAGCUAAUACCUGUAAGAAAAAUCGCUUGCUAUCAAACACCUAGGGGCAACCCAAAAGUGUGGCGGGCGAUGUGAUUGGCCGAAACAAAAAUAGACACUCGAACAGAGUAGCUGUAAUUGUUGACGCAGGCCAAAGUCGCGAAAGCACAAUUUUGUGCGAUGUUGGACGAAUUUACCACCUAUCAGGUAUUGAAGGUAGUGUAGUGGACUACCUUGCCUCUGACGGGUAACGGGGGAUUGGGGUUCGAUUCCGGAGAGGGUGCCUGAGAGACGGCAACCAUGACUAUGGUCAGCAGCAGGCGCGCAAAUUGCCCAAUGCCAACAAAUGGCGAGGCAGCGACGAAAAAUAGCAGUCCCCUUUGGGGAUUUGCAAUGGACUGUACCCAAAUAAACUGAUGAUUAUCUAUUGGAGGGCAAGUCUGGUGCCAGCAGCCGCGGUAAUUCCAGCUCCAAGAGCGUAUAUAAAUGUUGUUGCGGUUAAAAAGCCCGUAGUUGGAUUUGAGGAUGCUUCUUGUAUUCGCACCUGCGUGAAGGGUUUCUGGAUCGUAGGGACGAGUACGUUACGGAGGUAUCCUGACAUAUGCGGGAUUGUCCACUGGCCGAAGCUUCCUUAACUGGUAGCUGAA